AUGGCCGCGCUGGCCCGCGCCUCGCUCCUCCGAUCCGCCGUUCGGCGGCUCCGGGCCUUCUCCGCGGCCGCCGCCGAGGGCGCCGCGCCCCGCCGCGACGCGAGGGCAGCCGAUGCCGCCACGGUGGCGGCCGCGCUGGCUGUCGGGUCGGGGCUGGGGAUCUGGCUGCUCCCCCCUUCGCCGCAGCCGCUCGCGGACUCGGGCCAGGGGGGCUUCGCCGUGGCGGAUGCGGGCUUUGGCGACGUGGGCACCGCGGAGGAGCCCGAGGAGGAGAAGCGCAGGUUCCUCUUCCGAGACUCAUAUCGCAGAAGGGUGUUCUUCAACUAUGAGAAGCGCAUCCGGACGCGCAGCCCUCCUGAGAAGAUCUUUGAGUACUUUGCGUCCAUCCGGAACCCGGAGGGCGAAGUCUACAUGUUACCUGCCGACUUGAUGAGGGCUAUUGUUCCCGUUUUCCCUCCAUCCGAAUCUAAUGUUGUCAGGGAAGGAAGACUCAGAGGAGAGCGCAACCCUGGCGAGCUACAGUGUGCUCCUUCUGAGUUUUUCAUGCUGUUCGACACAAACGGCGAUGGGCUCAUCUCCUUUGCCGAGUAUAUCUUUUUUGUGACAUUGCUUAGCAUUCCUGAGUCGAGCUUCAAUAUAGCUUUCAAGAUGUUUGACCUUGACCACAAUGGGGAAAUAGAUAAAGAAGAGUUUAAGAAAGUAAUGGCGUUGAUGCGGUCCUAUAAUAGGCAAGGAUCUGCCCACAGGGAUGGGUUACGUAUUGGACUCAAGGUUGGUCAGCCAGUGGAAGACGGCGGACUGCUUGAGUACUUUUUUGGCAAGGAUGGCAGUGACCAUCUACACUAUGAAAAGUUCUCUGAUUUUUUGAAGCAAUUACAAGAUGAGAUCGUUCGCUUGGAGUUCAGUCACUAUGAUAUAAAAUCAUCCAAGACAAUAUCUGCUAAGGACUUUGCAUUAUCCAUGGUUGCUUCUGCUGACAUGAAUCAUAUAAACAAGCUACUUGACAGAGUUGACGAUUUUGAUGAAUCUCCUGAUGUCAAGGAUCUGCGCAUUACCUUUGAGGAGUUCAAGGCUUUUGCUGAUCUGCGGCGAAGAUUGGAACCAUUUGCAAUGGCUAUCUUCAGCUAUGGAAAAGUAAACGGUUUGUUGACAAAGCAGGAUCUAAAACGUGCUGCAACUCAUGUUUGUGGGGUGGACUUGACUGAUAAGGUGGUGGAUGUCAUUUUCCAUGUGUUUGAUGCAAACUGUGAUGGGAACCUAAGCUCAGAGGAGUUCUUGAGGGCACUACAAAGACGGGAAAUCAAUAUUCGCCAGCCCACCACUCCAGGUUUAAUGGGGGUAUUCUCCUGCUGGCUGAACUGUACGAAGUGUUCUUUUCAACAAAUGCUGCUUCAGUAG
This 1398-nucleotide ribosomal RNA is filed under the name Triticum aestivum (bread wheat). RNAcentral's name for it is "partial small subunit ribosomal RNA". The record is from RNAcentral. Lineage: Eukaryota; Viridiplantae; Streptophyta; Magnoliopsida; Poales; Poaceae.